This 386-nucleotide ribosomal RNA is filed under the name uncultured bacterium. RNAcentral describes it as "bacterial SSU rRNA". It matches the Rfam family "Bacterial small subunit ribosomal RNA", at positions 28 to 414 of the family's 1533-position model. The record is from RNAcentral.
GACGAACGCUGGCGGCGUGCUUAACACAUGCAAGUCGAGCGGUAAGGCCCUUUCGGGGUACGACGAGCGGCGAACGGGUGAGUAACACGUGGGUGACCUGCCCUCAGCUCUGGGAGUAAGCCUGGGAAACUGGGUCUAAUACUGGAUAUGACUCCACGGUGCAUGUCGUGGGGUGGAAAGCCUUGUGCGGCUGAGGAUGGGCCCGCGGCCUAUCAGCUUGUUGGUGGGGUGANGGCCUACCAAGGCGACGACGGGUAGCCGGCCUGAGAGGGCGACCGGCCACACUGGGACUGAGACACGGCCCAGACUCCUACGGGAGGCAGCAGUGGGGAAUCUUGCGCAAUGGGCGAAAGCCUGACGCAGCGACGCCGCGUGAGGGAUGACGG